GGACUACUCGGGUUUCUAAUCCCAUUCGCUCCCCUAGCUUUCGUCCCUCAGUGUCAGUUGCGGCCUAGUAGAGCGCCUUCGCCACCGGUGUUCUUCCUGAUCUCUACGCAUUUCACCGCUACACCAGGAAUUCCCUCUACCCCGAACGCACUCUAGCUUUGUAGUUUCCACUGCCUUUAUCUGGUUGAGCCAGACUCUUUAACAGCAGACUUUCAAUGCCACCUGCGGACGCUUUACGCCCAAUCAUUCCGGAUAACGCUUGCAUCCUCCGUAUUACCGCGGCUGCUGGCAC
This 292-nucleotide ribosomal RNA is filed under the name uncultured bacterium. RNAcentral describes it as "partial 16S ribosomal RNA". The record is from RNAcentral.